GGCUAUAUAAGCCCAUCCCGAGCGCCUCCGAGCUCACCACCCACCUCACAACCCUCCUCUAGUCUUGCCUGGCCACUUCCCCGAGCCCGAGGACGCCUCGAGCCCUCCACUAGCCGCCAUGGCCGCCGCGGUGCUCCGCUUAAAUUCGGCCUAACCGAGUCCUCCCUCUUUUUUUGGUCGUCACCACUAGCCUCCCAACUCCAGCGCAGCCCUCCCUAGCUUCUCGUUUCCUCGCCGGAGCUCGUGUGGCCGCGACCCCAAGAUCAGCCUCGCCGCCCGAGCUCUCUGUUCCGCGAGUCGCCGUCGCCCCGUACCCUCUUCGGCGCUGAUAUUGCUCCAGGCGGGAGCGGCGAACUGUCCCGAGUCCACCGGUGGCCGGAGCUCGGCCGGAGACCACCGGGGCUGGCCCGGCCGUCGCCGGUGUCGCCCCUCCCCUGCUCCUCUGUUCUUCGCGUCGGGGAAGAAGAAGAAGGAGCCAAGAGAGGGAGAUGGAUAAGCCGGAAUGCGCCACGCUGACCUGGAUAACUGACAGGCCCCACCCGUGGGACCCGCACGUCAGCUGCUCAAGCCCCUGCCUCGCCUCUGCCACGUGUUUAACUGGAGGCGUAAAACACUCAGUGCAUUUCGCGUAAGGAAAGCGUGUUUAAUGCUGAUCCGUUUUCUUUUACUGAAAGUGUACCUCUGUUUCAGAAAAGAAUGCGUUUUCUUAAACAGAAAGCGUAUUUCUGACUUUACGCUUCUGCCUUAUCCACUCAGGGACUUGUUUGUGAUGAUAUUUUUGCAGAAAAGCCCCUGAACUUCAACCCUUCAUAUCUUUUUAAUCACAACUCCAAAUCAGGUGAUUCCAAAACCCAAGUCUUCGUUUCGUCGAGCCCGUUCUGUUGGUUUCAUUUUCAGUAUGGUUUGAUACUGUCAAAAUGACCUUUUUGUCCUUGCAUGUAAACAGCCCCUCCGAGAGAGAAUUGUUUCUGGCAAAUCUUUCCGCGGCUUCACCGCACUUCUCCCCUGAGCCUUCUUCACCCCCAGGCAAGCCACAAUACCCACUUGCAUGAUAGUCAUGCAGUAGCCAUGGUUUUCAACUUCAAUAUUUAUUAAAUGAUUGCUUGUUUAAAAUAUUGUUAUCGUUGUUUCGGAAAUGCUUCUAGGAUUGUGCUUACUUGUUUGCUAUGUUGUUAUGCACCUGGUUAUCAUGCCCUGCUAGUUGCUAGUAUUACUUUCAUAUUGCCAUGCUUGAUAGUAGUACAUGUUGGGUUGGUCAUGCUCUUCGGUGCAUGACUAACGUCGGUUACCGAGUACUGUUAAUAGGCAUUGUUCCGUUGCUGUUAGUUGGUUAAGUGUUACUCGGUGAUGUUAUUGAUAAGUUCCUGCAUGUUAUUUAUGGUUGAUGCUAGUGGUCAUGUUAUGUUAUACUAUGAGUAGUGUUGCACUUGUAAUAUUUAUGCUCGUCAUUAUGCCAUGUUCAGUUGGAGAUUAUUUCAUAGUUGAUGUGGUGGAUAGUUAUGUUGCAUCCCGUGAUUAUGUUGAUAUCAUGCUCAUGCAUUGUCAUUGCAUCAUGUUAUUUUAUCAUGGCUCAGCAUUUUGCAUUCAAGUUUAACCGGAUUUAAUUGAACUUGAACAACUGUUGGCUGAGUCAUGGUGCCGCCAGAUCGAAACUGACCAGUGCAACCACGCUUACCUUAUGGGCUAGGUCCUAACUGGGUCUAUUGUCGUGCAUCUCGCCGGUGCCUCCCACGAGGGAAGGUUAUGGGUGUGCUUACCUUGAUCAAGUAGGCGGACAUAACCUUGUGUGCCCGUUAUUUUUAUUUUUAUGGAUCCGGUCCCCGUGAGGGAGUUUUGACCACAACGGUGGCCGGGUGUCUUUGGUAGACACGGGGCCACCUAGGACUAGCCCAGUUGGGAGUGGGUCGGAGUGGCUGGGAGAGUGUCAUGACAAUAGAUCGGUUUUGUCGGAACGCCAUUGGUCCACCCGAAUGGGAGUGCGAGGCCACGGGUUCCGUGGUGUGGGUACAGUGUGCUACCUCUGCAGAGUGUAUAUUAAAUCUAGCGAUAGCCGCGCUCGCGGAUAAGGGCCCAGUUCGUGUCGGUCCCAUCGUGAGUCAACAGUACUAAUAAUAACUUGAUUAAUGACAACCCAGUUCGAUGAGGAGAUAAGUUGGUUGUGAUCGCCGGAAUGAUCACCGUUUGAGACCAAGAGUUGGUCAUGGUUGUGAUCGCCGAAAUGAUCACUGUUUGAGACCAAGAGUUGGUCAUGGUUGUGAUCGCCGGAAUGAUCACUGUUUGAGACCAAGUGUUGGUCAUGGUUGUGAUCGCUGGAAUGAUCACUGUGGUAUCGAGGAUACCGAGUUGUUGGAUAUUCGUGAUGUUGUGCGAGAAUCAUGGGUAAAGAUCAAGCUCCUUGUGGUCAUUUAAUGAUUACUAUGGUAUUGUUUAUACCAAGCUUGAUUUGAUCCUGAGAUGAUCGUGUGAUGUCCGAGGUUGGUAAGUGCUGCGUGUGAUGGUUACGAGAUAACCCGAGCAGAAUAAUUGGUGCAUAUAGUGUCAUCAUGUUGCAUGCUAGUAUCGUCAGAUUUAUAUGUUCAUGCCAUGCUCAUAUUGUUCUAGCAGUAUCAGGUUCAUAUUGCCUUUGGAUUCUUAGUGGCUAUUAUGAUUACUUUCAGGAUGGUAUCUGGUAUUAAUUUGGAGUAUUACUUUGGAUAUCAUGUGCUCAUGUCAUGUUGUUAUAAGGAUCUCAUGUUAAUUCCUGCUUAACCUGUAAUUGCCAUGCUGUUAUUUGUCUUGAAUGCUUCUGGUUAAUUGUGAGCUUGCAAGUACAUUCAAUGUACUGACCUGGCGUGUCAUGCCAACUUGCAGGUCGUGCCUAGAUUGCUUGCUUGUUUGGUGUUGUUUCUGUGUUCGCGAGCUAGGAUAAGCGUUCCAGCCAGAGUCCCUGCGGAGUGGAGUUUACCACCAUCGUCGUUGUUCCGCUACCAAUAGCUUUUCUGCUGCUAGAGUUAUUCCGCUGCUUCGAGUUGUUCUGCUGCUUGCAUAGAGCAACUGAGGAUGGCACAGUGUCGCCAUGCCGAUGUUAUUCAUUGUAAUAUCGGAGACCUUGUAAUUAUAUUCGUGUAAUAAUAGAAAGCUGGUUUGUUCUAUGCUAAUAGUGUCGUAUUCCAGAAGACUUCUCCUCGAUCUUUGGGCUGGAAUACGUGGCGUUCCGGUUUUCUAUGAGCCGGGUGCCACACCCUUUGCAAGGAACCGUUGUUG
Molecule: long non-coding RNA, 3243 nt
Filed under: Triticum aestivum (bread wheat)
Lineage: Eukaryota; Viridiplantae; Streptophyta; Magnoliopsida; Poales; Poaceae
Description: long non-coding RNA (TAES_LNC025956)
Source: RNAcentral